UUACCACUCCCCCCGUCCGGAAAUACUUGUCGGAGAAAUGGAUGUAUCCAGACGUAUUUUAGUUCUAGAUGCAUGUAUUUUUAUUCUUUUCUCCAACAAGUAUUUCCAGACGGAGGGACUAUAUG
Molecule: non-coding RNA, 125 nt
Organism: Triticum aestivum (bread wheat)
Lineage: Eukaryota; Viridiplantae; Streptophyta; Magnoliopsida; Poales; Poaceae
Source: Rfam